GGCUCGAGUCCGAUGCUCACCUCGGGUCCCGGCCGGUAAUAAACUCCUGUGUGGAUUUAAUAUCAGUCUCUGGUUGGUUCUCUCUCACCGGGUGCAGCACUCUGUCCAUCUGAUAAUUCAAUACAUGAAGAUUUUGCUGAAUAAGGUCUGGUGUAUAGCAUGGUGGCUGGAUAUGCAUAGACAAGAAAUGACCAUCACAGAUUGAUUCUCUGAAGAGCUUCUCUUCUAUGGAUCUUACGUUUGCUGACCAUUUCUCCCAGCUUUUCAUACUGUUUAUACUUUACCAGGUGUUCCUGGAUGAGAAUGUGCCUUGAAUCUCAGAAGAGACUUUGAACUUGAACUUUUCAACAAUGCUUAAACAGGAAUGUAUCCAUUUCUUCUAGAUUCUCCAAUUCAUCAGAAUUACCAGAGAUUGAACUCAAGACCUUGCGCUUGCGAGGGAGGUGUGGUGCCACUGAGGUAAAUCCCCAGCCCUCAGUUUAUUUUAAAUGAUAAAAUAAAGAAGACCACUGUGAAAAUUUUUGACAAAUUUUAAAAUAAAGAAAAUAAAUGUCAUGUAAUAUUCCAUCUCUCGUGUAUAAUAAUAAUCUAUUCAACUGUAUAACUGUAUAAGUCUGAGACUAGUAAGCAUUUGUUGUUGUUUGGAUCUGGAGUGUCCCCUUAAAGCCUCAUUUGCUCAGAGGUGGGCUUUUGGAAGGUGAUUGAAUCAUGGGUCAAUAUUGCUGAUUUAGUGUUAGGAGGUGGAUUCUGGC
RNAcentral lists this long non-coding RNA (752 nucleotides) under Heterocephalus glaber (naked mole-rat). RNAcentral's name for it is "lncRNA (ENSHGLG00000044251.1)". The record is from RNAcentral. Lineage: Eukaryota; Metazoa; Chordata; Mammalia; Rodentia; Bathyergidae.